RNAcentral lists this ribosomal RNA (253 nucleotides) under uncultured bacterium. Its description in RNAcentral is "partial 16S ribosomal RNA". It matches the Rfam family "Bacterial small subunit ribosomal RNA", at positions 524 to 776 of the family's 1533-position model. The record is from RNAcentral.
UACAGAGGGUGCUAGCGUUGUUCGGAAUCAUUGGGCGUAAAGGGCGUGUAGGCGGUUUGUUAAGUCAUGUGUGAAAUCCCUCGGCUCAACCGGGGAACGACGCAUGAAACUGGCAAGCUAGAGUACCAAAGAGGGGGGUGGAAUUCCCGGUGUAGCGGUGAAAUGCGUAGAUAUCGAGAGGAACACCUGCGGCGAAGGCGGGUUGCUGGGCUGACACUGACGCUGAGGCGCGAAAGCUAGGGGAGCGAACGGG